UGGCCACAUUCAGCUAAUCAAGAUGGACACAUUUGUUUAUUAUGUGCUAAUACUAAUUUAAAUUGUUAUUAAUAUUGUUAUGUAGAAAUUAUAGUGUUUGGUUGAAAGGUAGUCGCUUAUUAGUUAAGGACUUUUUUUUUCUUUUCAUGGAUAGACAAAUCCAUUGUAUAGUGAAAAUAGUUAAAUAUCUCUUCCGUUGAUGACGUUGGUUCUU
This 214-nucleotide long non-coding RNA is filed under the name Elaeis guineensis (African oil palm). RNAcentral describes it as "long non-coding RNA (EGUI_LNC007031)". The record is from RNAcentral. Lineage: Eukaryota; Viridiplantae; Streptophyta; Magnoliopsida; Arecales; Arecaceae.